This 494-nucleotide ribosomal RNA is filed under the name uncultured bacterium. Its description in RNAcentral is "partial 16S ribosomal RNA". It matches the Rfam family "Bacterial small subunit ribosomal RNA", at positions 28 to 507 of the family's 1533-position model. The record is from RNAcentral.
GACGAACGCUGGCGGCGCGCUUAACACAUGCAAGUCGAACGGGAAGGCCUGCUUUCCCUUGUGGAUUGCGGGUACUCGAGUGGCGAACGGGUGAGUAACACGUGAGUGAUCUGCCCCCAACUUGGGUAUAAGCCUGGGAAACUGGGUCUAAUUCCCGAUAGGACUGCAGGGUGGUGCCUGUGGUGGAAAACGAUUUUCUAGUGGUUGGGGAUGAGCUCGCGGCCUAUCAGCUUGUUGGUGGGGUAAUGGCCUACCAAGGCGGCGACGGGUAGCCGGCCUGAGAGGGUGGACGGCCACAUUGGGACUGAGAUACGGCCCAGACUCCUACGGGAGGCAGCAGUGGGGAAUAUUGCACAAUGGGCGGAAGCCUGAUGCAGCGACGCCGCGUGGGGGAUGACGGCCUUCGGGUUGUAAACUCCUUUCGACCGCGAGGAAGCCACCUGGUUGGAAGGGUGGUGACGGUAGUGGUAGAAGAAGCACCGGCUAACUACGUG